Molecule: long non-coding RNA, 677 nt
Filed under: Bos taurus (domestic cattle)
Lineage: Eukaryota; Metazoa; Chordata; Mammalia; Artiodactyla; Bovidae
Description: long non-coding RNA NONBTAT007374
Source: RNAcentral
CACCAGAUGAUUUAUACCGCUUCCUGUUGGCUUUGCGUCUUGAGUACAGCAAUGCCCUCCCUAUUCAUAGAAGAAAUGGAUGGACUUUUGAAUCGUAGGGGUCUCUUCCUCUAGUCAUAGCUCAUGAGUUGUUAUGUGUAAAUUGUUUGCUUUUUUUGUGCCUCAGUUUUUCCAUCAAAUUGCACAUCUUAAGCUAUACUGAAAGGACAUGUAGUUUAUGAAGCAUUAAAAGUAUUCUCCUUUUGGGUUUCUUCUUUAUAUAGAAAAGCAACUGAGAUAUAGUUGUAAAAGGAAAUUGUUUGUUUUUAUCUUAUUUAUACCUGUUUUGACAGCUCCCACCUUCCUCUAACUUAAAGCCAAAUUUGGAGACUAGAUACCUGGUUCCUUCUAAAUUAAUGGAGAUAAGGAAUACUAAAGCACCAGCAUUUUCCGAACAGAUUUAAGGCUCUAGAUGUUUCUUAGAAGCUAGUCAAAGACCUAAAUUGAUGUCACAGGUAUCCCUGAGUUAGAUCCAGUGCUGAAUAGUCUGGUUGGAGCCUAAUUCUCUUCUUCCUUGUUUAAUCUUCAUAAACAUUUUGGACUGGCACUAAGCCAGUGAUAGGUGUUACGGAGUCACAAAACUCCAGUCUGUAUUUUAAGAAUAAGUAAAUUUGAUGUCCUUGGUUCUGCCCCCUCCU